Molecule: ribosomal RNA, 492 nt
Filed under: uncultured bacterium
Lineage: Bacteria
Description: partial 16S ribosomal RNA
Rfam family: Bacterial small subunit ribosomal RNA
Source: RNAcentral
GAUGAACGCUAGCUACAGGCUUAACACAUGCAAGUCGAGGGGAAACGGCAUUAAGUGCUUGCACUUUUUGGACGUCGACCGGCGCACGGGUGAGUAACGCGUAUCCAACCUGCCCCUUACCAGGGAAUAACCCGUUGAAAGACGGACUAAUGCCCUAUGCAGUCCUUUGACGGCAUCAGAUUAGGACUAAAGAUUCAUCGGUAUGGGAUGGGGAUGCGUCUGAUUAGCUUGUUGGCGGGGUAACGGCCCACCAAGGCAUCGAUCAGUAGGGGUUCUGAGAGGAAGGUCCCCCACAUAGGAACUGAGACACGGUCCUAACUCCUACGGGAGGCAGCAGUGAGGAAUAUUGGUCAAUGGGCGGUAGCCUGAACCAGCCAAGUAGCGUGCAGGAGGACGGCCCUAUGGGUUGUAAACUGCUUUUAUGCGGGGAUAAAGUCACCCACGUGUGGGUGUUUGCAGGUACCGCAUGAAUAAGGACCGGCUAAUUCCGUG